AUGAGUAUGCAAGGGCUGGACUCGUUUCUGGGCGCAAUAAAGGUUUGGUCAUGGCUCCGCUUCCAGCCCAUGUUGAGGUUCUCGGUGCCCCCUCGGAUGGUUUGGCUUCUCGAUGAUCAUUGGGACAAACAACACCGGUCGUAUGCUAUGUCGGUGAAGCAUCGGGAGCUUGCACCUCUGAAGCUUCAGUUUCACGGGGUCACCCUUGGAUGGAUGCGCUAUGAUGAGCGGUACACACCGUAUGUAAGGGAGGCAGGACUUCUCCCUUUCAUUCAGUUGGUCCGUCGGUCGACGCCACCCAACAAUGCUGCAGCACUCACCGCGCUUAUUGAUCAUUGGAGGCCGGAGACACACACUUUCCAUCUUCGGACUGGGGAGAUGAUCGUGACGCUCCAGGAUAUUGCUAUGAUCACCGGUCUUCCUAUCGAUGGCAAUCCUUUAUGUAUGAACACCGAUUCUGAUGGGUGGCGCGCGCAGAUGCAUGCCCUUAUCGGUAUGGUUCCUCCGGAGCCUCGGGAACCAGAAGCAGAAGAUAAGAAGAGGGAAAGAGUCGCAGCCGGCGCUACUUUCACGUGGAUAUCAUCGAACUUCAGUACUUGCCCUGAGGAUGCUAAUGAGGACAUGGUGAAGACAUAUGCUCGUGUCUACAUGUGGUACGUGAUAUCCAGGACUAUGUUUGCUGAUGGCACAGGCAAGAAUGCUCCAUGGAUGUGGCUGAAGGCGUUGACCGUCUUCGAUAGCAAAUGGAGUUGGGGUUCGGCGAUACUGGCUUACUUGUAUCGACAGUUGGACGAAGCCUGUUGUAGGCACACUGGAGGUAUUGGUGGUUGUCUGCUCGCACUUUCCAUAUGGAGUUGGGAGCGUUUGCCGGUUGGACAACCGAAGACCGUGAAGUACGAGGAUUGGGACGACAAAGACGACCCACUACGGCUCCCCACUUGGGCUUACAAGUGGGAUGUGUUAAAUGAGACGACGGAUGAUCCCUCGGUAAUGUACAAGUUGUACAAGAGCGAGCUGGAUGCGAUCACGCCUGAGCAGGUGGAAUGGGAGCCGUAUGGAAAAGGAGAGAGUUUUGGUAACCCUAUAGAGUUCAGGCUGAAUCCGAUGUGCACUAGGGAUAGGGAUCUCUGGCAUAUGCGGUGCCAACUGAUAUGCAACUGGGCGGUUGAGCUUCACCUGCCACAUCGGGUGUUCCGCCAGUUUGGUUUGUUCCAGCCACACCCGCCGGAGUGGGAGGACACGGACAAGUUGUUAUACGCGUUGGAUAGGAAAAAGCAACGGAAGAUCAAGGAUUGGACCAAGCAUCACAGGAAGUAUGUCGUGCAGUUCGCUCUUAGUGUGGAGCAAGCAAGGGCUGGAAAACGAGCCCAGCUUCGUGAGCACUGCCCGAUCGCGUUCAACAACUAUCUCACAUGGUUUCUUGCAAGUACCCGCGUGGAGGUAUGCAAGCCGGCGUAUGCUGAGGAGAUUCUGGAAGAACCCAUCGUUUUUGAUGAGGUAGCCCAGCACCAGUACAACGCAUUAGUCAGGAAAGGCAACUCGGUGAUCCCUUCAGCUCCAAUGAUGAACUUUGUGCGUGUCCAGAUCAAGAAAGCAGUUGAUGAGACCGAGACUAUUCUGGAAACAACCCCGGCUGGCAAAAGCGACGAGGAAGGUGCACUUCGAGCAUUCAUUAAGCGCCAGGGCCAAAAGUUAAGGCGGCUAUCAAACCUUUUCGGUUGUCGUGACCCUGAGUAUGUAUCACCAGAACGGUCUAGGUCGGCGACACCAUCAGAUCCCGCUUCGGGGUAG
This 1791-nucleotide ribosomal RNA is filed under the name Triticum aestivum (bread wheat). RNAcentral describes it as "partial small subunit ribosomal RNA". Lineage: Eukaryota; Viridiplantae; Streptophyta; Magnoliopsida; Poales; Poaceae. The record is from RNAcentral.